GUGUUUGCCCGGAGCGGCCUGUUGUUUUCGGGAGGCCGGGCGGAGAGCCCGCCUCCCGGGUGUCACCCCGCCCUUCCUCCUCCCCGCCCAUAGGGGUUAACCCCUCCCUUCCCAGAGGCUCGUUAUUCCCAUACCUAUUCUACUCCUUCCUUUCCCCGCUCCCUCCUCAGACUCCUUCACGUCUCGUCUCUGAGAUUGUUCCGGUAGCUGUCAGCGCACCCCAUUUCCUCCCAAAGUGUCCCGAUUCACCUAUCUUGAUUCCCAUCUGCUCUCCCUUAGGGGGUCUAGUGGGUUCCCAAUUCAGAUGACAGUGACUCAGAUUGAAUGUUUGCUAACUUCGGGAUCUGGAUGCGAGCCCACGUCAGUCCCUCGUAUCACAAAGAUCCAAGCAGCUCAUGAAAAGGCGGCAUGUUGCUUUUCCAGUUAAAAAAGUCAGUCAACCUCCUAACUAACACCUGGAGGCGGCAGAGGCAACCCUUACCAUCAGUGCUACAAUGAAGUUUUCAAAAAACUUUUUUUUUUUUUUUUUGUCUUUUUAGGGCCGCACUAGCGGCACAUGGAGAUUCCCAGGCUAGGGGUCAAAUCGGAGCUGUAGCUGCCGGCCUACGCCAGAGCCACAGCAACUCGGGAUCCGAGCCGCGUCUGCGACCUACACCACAGCUCAUGGCAACGCCGGACCCUUAACCCACUGAACGAGGCCAGGGAUCGAACCUGCAUCCUCAUGGAUGCUAGUAAGAUUCGUUUCCGCUGAGCCACGAGACAAACUCCCAAAACACUUUUAUUUUUUUAUUCUCUUCUCUUUGGACCUAAGAAAGCAACCUUUUUCGCUCUGAGCGUUCUUAGAGAAAGGUCCUGGGAGAUGAUUGGUGCUGGAGGCGGAGAGCCCGCCCUUCCUCAGCCAACCGGCUCUCUCGUGGGAACCCAGCGCGCGCCCUCUUGUGGUCGAGAGCGGCGCUGCAUCCAGCACACUGAAGAGAAAAGGUGAAAAAAGAAGUUGGGGUCCCCAGGGAAGACAUGCCACAGCGGUAUCAGAGAGGACCGCCAAACCAGCAGUUAGACCAUGGAUGAUGUUGGUGAAUGCGGUCUUCAAGGUGCCUGGAAGAGUAUAUGAAAUAUUAUAUGUAAAAAAAGUGGAUCCCUGUGCCUGGUGCACUGUAAAUAUCAAUAAACGGCAGCUAUGGCUAUUACUGUGAAAUUUGGGAGUUCCUGUUGUGGCUCAGUGGGUUAAGAACCUGAUAUAUUAGAGGAUGCAAGUUCAAUCCCUGGCCUUGCUCAGUGGGUUAAGGAUCUGGCUUUGCCCUGAGCUAUGGCAUAGGUCGCAGAUACGGCUCCGAUCCUGCCGUUGCUGU
Molecule: long non-coding RNA, 1349 nt
Filed under: Sus scrofa (pig)
Lineage: Eukaryota; Metazoa; Chordata; Mammalia; Artiodactyla; Suidae
Description: lncRNA (ENSSSCG00030012788.1)
Source: RNAcentral